GUGGGGAAUCUUCCGCAAUGGACGAAAGUCUGACGGAGCAACGCCGCGUGAGUGAUGAAGGUCUUCGGAUUGUAAAGCUCUGUUAAUCGGGACGAAAGAGCCUAGUGUGAAUAAUGCUAGGAAGUGACGGUACCGGAAUAGAAAGCCACGGCUAACUACGUGCCAGCAGCCGCGGUAAUACGUAGGUGGCAAGCGUUGUCCGGAAUUAUUGGGCGUAAAGCGCGCGCAGGCGGAUCUGCCAGUCUGUCUUAAAAGUUCGGGGCUUAACCCCGUGAUGGGAUGGAAACUAAAGAACUAGAGUAACGGAGAGGAAAGUGGAAUUCCUAGUGUAGCGGUGAAAUGCGUAGAUAUUAGGAAGAACACCAGUGGCGAAGGCGACUUUCUGGACGAAAACUGACGCUGAGGCGCGAAAGCCAGGGGAGCGAACGGGAUUAGAUACCCCAGUAGUCC
RNAcentral lists this ribosomal RNA (450 nucleotides) under uncultured bacterium. RNAcentral's name for it is "partial 16S ribosomal RNA". It matches the Rfam family "Bacterial small subunit ribosomal RNA", at positions 354 to 796 of the family's 1533-position model. The record is from RNAcentral.